RNAcentral lists this unclassified non-coding RNA (1093 nucleotides) under Hevea brasiliensis (rubber tree). Lineage: Eukaryota; Viridiplantae; Streptophyta; Magnoliopsida; Malpighiales; Euphorbiaceae. The record is from RNAcentral.
GAUUUUGCUCUGUUGGGGUGGGUGGUAAGUCACUAUCUUAUCUAUCUGCCGUAUUUCUGCAGAAAGAUUAUUUUUAAAUGCACUUUUUUUGCCUUUAUGCUGUGUGAGAAUCUUUCAAUCUUUCUUUGUUUUCCACCUUUCCUCAUUUGAGAGACAUGUUGUUACUUGGUUUGUAAACCACCUUGGUAUGGUCAUGGAGUUAUGGGGCAGAAUGAAUCAAUAAAGAUGUUUAAUCUGAUUAAGGCUUGUGGACAUAGUCUAUUUUGGGUCCAUGAGGUCUGCCUCUUCCAUCAAAAUGACAUCCUUGUCCAACAGAGUUGUUUUCCUGGCCUUUAUCUUUAUAGUUACAGGCUUACAGCUCUCUCAUCUCCCAAGACCUUUUCAUUGCCUUUGUUGCCCCACGGGUUGUAUUUUGGAAAGACAUGUUUGUUAGCUAAUAAAACUUAUUCUUGAACCAUCACCUAGAAGUUCUAGUGGUUCACUAAUUAUGAAAGCCUUUAACAAACAGGAGAGUUCAAAUUCUAGUUGUUCCAUUCUUAUUCAAGACUAAAUGCUUUUGUGUGAGAGUACCUAGGCUUUUAAGCUGAGAGGUGAAGUAAUAAGGGUGUGACAAUAAAGCCUAUUCUUAGGUCCUCACGUAUAUGUUUGAACUUUUAGACCAAGAGAUUCAUUAAUAAAGUUUACCCCUUCUGAGUAACUUGCACAGACGGUGUGUCUAGGAAUAAAGCAUAUUCCUUGGUUUUCAACUGCAGGCUUGGGUUUUUAGGUUGAGAGGUCAUUCUUAGCUUUGUGUCUGUUCUGAUAAUGUGAAAUAAUGGGAGAUAAUUUGACAAUUAACAAAUAGUCAUUAUUUUCUUGUUCCAUUAUCCUAACUGUGUAAACAAAAACUGUCUCAAGGGCAUGUCAAUAAAUGGUACUAAUUGUUCACAAAAUUAUUGGGGAUCACAAAAUUAUUGGGGAAUAAUAACAUCUGGUAUCUUUUUGGCAACUGUAUAUCAAAUUGAUUCUAAUAUCUUUCAUUCUUUCCUUUUUUUUCUUAUAUAUUCUUAAAUUCUUGUUUGUUUUGGCAGCAUUCCUUUUUCAAGCAAUUUUA